CGGGAAACCGGAGCUAAUACCGGAUAAUAUAUUGAACCGCAUGGUUCAAUAGUGAAAGACGGUUUUGCUGUCACUUAUAGAUGGAUCCGCGCCGCAUUAGCUAGUUGGUAAGGUAACGGCUUACCAAGGCAACGAUGCGUAGCCGACCUGAGAGGGUGAUCGGCCACACUGGAACUGAGACACGGUCCAGGACUCCUACGGGAGGCAGCAGUC
RNAcentral lists this ribosomal RNA (213 nucleotides) under uncultured Staphylococcus sp. RNAcentral describes it as "partial 16S ribosomal RNA". It matches the Rfam family "Bacterial small subunit ribosomal RNA", at positions 150 to 355 of the family's 1533-position model. The record is from RNAcentral. Lineage: Bacteria; Bacillati; Bacillota; Bacilli; Caryophanales; Staphylococcaceae.